Molecule: long non-coding RNA, 2319 nt
Organism: Equus caballus (horse)
Lineage: Eukaryota; Metazoa; Chordata; Mammalia; Perissodactyla; Equidae
Source: Ensembl
GGGACACCAGAACCUCGGCUUCCAGGGUUGUCACUGAGCCGGUGCUAUGCCAGGGCGGCCCAUAUGGUCGAGCGGUUGUCGCCAGAGACACAGAGCAUAAAUAAACCCUGGGAGUACAGAUGGGAGGCCGGCUAGGCUGGCUCCACUUCCUGGUCUCAUCACAGGGGAGUCCGUGUGGAAGCCCUGGGAGGCACCUCAGCCAUUUUCCAGGCCAACGACUGCAUUUGUCAGACGAGAAAAGCCAGAGGUUAAGGGACUUGCCAAAAGUCACACAGUGAGUCAACUGAAAAGCAGUAAGAGGUGGUGGCUAAGAGCACAGCAUGACUCCAUUGCCCUUGGCUUUGGCAAGUGACUGAAGUUCUCAGUUUCCUCAUACCAUGAGUGUGAGGUUAGUACCUGCCACAUUAGGUGCGUGGGACCCAAUCAAACGUAAAUGUGUGAGGCGCCCACUGCCAGGUUCAUAAUCACUGCUCCGUGGCUGCUGAUGGUUCUGAUGCUUAUCAUGACCGCUAGGAGCUGGAGAUAGAUCUUGAGAUCUCUUCUGCCCGGGUCAUGGGUAAACAUGAUGGAUAAAAUUAUGUGAACCAGAGUUUGAAUUUUGGCUUCUAGUUUUGUGACUCCCCCUUUCUGAGCUCUCGUUCUCAUCUGUAAAGCGGAGCAGCGACACCACUGUUCACAGGCUUGCUGCGAGGAUGGGAGGCAGCAGCGAGGGGACGGAGCCCUCCCAGCAGUAAACCGCAACUGUGACCCCCUAAUUCAAAGCUCCUCCCCUCGGCGGCAGCGAGGACAACGGCUUUCAGUUUGAAGAAUGGUAACUCAGAACCAUUAUCAUCCCCAUCUCAUGGAUUAGAAACGGAGGCUGGGAUGAGUUAUCAAGAUGCUCCUAGUCAUACAGGCAAGAACCUGGCGGGGCCAGCCAGGAUUUGAAACCAGGGCAUCUGGCUCCUAAGGCUGAAUAUUGGUGACUGGCUGCUUAAAUGCUCUGCCUCCAUUUAUGAGAGGAAAACAUCUGUGUCCUCGUCUUCAAAUUGUUUUGUCUCUAAAAUAUCCUUCCAGCAAGGAGGAAAACCAGUGUUGAAGAAAAUACCACUGAACACACAGCACUCCCCAAAGCUCAGAGACAAAGGAAGUCCAGGAAAGGAAGGGAAGGAGGAAACAUGGAUUUAGUUCCACCGUGAAAAUAUUCCACACUUCAACCUCUUGCACAAUUUAACAGAUACCUUCUGAGAGGCUGCAUGUGACCAGCUCAGAGCUGAGCGAACACACAAGAACAGACAAGAUGGAUAAAUACCAAGCCAUCGAUCCCCUCUGCUGUUUCCGUCAGUGUCUAGAGCCCUAGAGGAUCACAUGGUGUGGAGGAAAUGUCAGGGGCUCCUCAGACGGACCUGGGUUCAAAUUUGCACUCUGCCACUUACAAGUGGAGCAAGUGCCCCUUGGUACUGGGCCUAAGGCUUCUGAGCUCCCUUCUCGUUCUGUCCCCAGGGGGUUGUGAAUCAGCACUCAGCACAAUCAUAUUAUUUCUACUCAAAAACGAGAGUUUUUCAUCUUAAGAAUUUCUAUGGUGACCCUGUGAAAAGUCGGUGCAGCCAAAAUUGAAAGAACUCCUCAGGUUUGAUGAGUGAGGUUGUUAGGCAUAGAAGUUCUCCUGGUACCGCACAGCAUACAUAAUGGAUAAUACACAGACAUUACAAGACAAUGGCAUACCCACAGUAUUUCAUUAAAUAAAACUGUAUGGCAUAACACUUUAUGCCAGGAAUUGUUAUUCCCAUUGUGCAGAGGAGGAAACCAAAUUGCAGAGAGGGGAAGAGGUCUGGGGGAGGUCACACAGCUGGUUCACAAUGAAGCAGGGUCUCCAUCCCAGAACCUGCAGGAGGGAUGAAUUUGCCAAACGGUGCUGAAGCGAGAAGACCCAGCCCUACCCAGCGUCGCUGUGCCUCUCCUCCUCGGGCCGCCAGGACUCCCCCCACGGUGCUGGUUCCUGGGACUCCCCGAGGUGGGGAGCCAAGGCUGCUGCUGGCCCCCUGAACUGCACGCCUGUCUAAGCUGCCAUGUUGCCCCCGCGUCGAGUUUUGGCAUCUCAUCGUGGAGCAGCAGCCAUUGUGCCCUCACUGUGCCCAUGUCUCCUGCAUCUACACUACUGAGAGGAAACAAAAGAACAAGCAAACAAAAACAGGUGUCAAAUCCCUGGCUUUGCAUCCUGGCUCCCCUGUUUGCUGGCUGUGUGGCUUUGGAUGAAAAUUCCCCAAGCCUUGGUUUCCUCAUCUCUGAAACAGAGCUUCCAGUCCCCGUCUUUUGGGGCUAGAGUGAGAUUUAAGUGAC